Molecule: long non-coding RNA, 451 nt
Organism: Onychostruthus taczanowskii (white-rumped snowfinch)
Lineage: Eukaryota; Metazoa; Chordata; Aves; Passeriformes; Passeridae
Exons: 4
Source: RefSeq, a predicted model, not a curated record
UGCUUCCAUGACCUUGGGAAAACCCAGGUUUUGCUCAGGGAGCAAUCCUUCCCGCCCGUGGAGACAAGCAGGGUGUGCAGAGCCGAGCGCCGCGGGGAAUGUGAAAUACAGAGCUGUGUUUUGUGUCAGAGAGGAAAAGCAUCCCAGCUUGGCUGGCAGCAGAGCCCAGGCCUGAGGCUGCUCAGCGUUGGUGUGACCUGUCACAGCUGCCCAGAGCCAGGAGAUGCAGCUGAGGGAUCCAGGAGGAUGCAGCUCUUGUUUCCAAGGAGGAUAAUAUAAGACUGAAAGGAGCUUGGCAGGAGAGCCCCUGUGAAACAAAGCACAAUGGGAAUACCUGUGAGUAGGGACUCUAAGGAAUUCCUGCUGCUCCUGCUGUCCUGGUCUUUUCCAGGACAGGAAAAAUCAUUUAAUUGGACCCAGCUCUGCCAGAACCUUUGGUUUUGGGUGGGAU